CGGGGGGCCAAUCUCGAACUCGUAGCCCUCACGACGCAUGUUCUCAAUGAGGAUACCCAGGUGCAGAGUACCGCGGCCAGACACCACGAACGAGUCCGAGGUCUCACCGGGCUCCACGCUGCAAACACAAGAGCCAGGCAAUAGGGGGUCAAUGUGAUGUUCACAAAGAAGCUAGACGCGGUCCAGCUCCUUGUUGUUCAACCAAGCCACCUUAGUCACGAACACCCCGCCUCAAUAGUACACGUGAGCGGUGUUUUGGAUGCUGACGACACCUAGCACGCUCGCCCCGGGCAUUUGUGCGCGCCUGUCACGGCCGCUGCUCCUGGGUGUCUCACCGCAGCGCCAGGUUACGCUCCAGCUCGCGAUCCAGGCGGUCCUUCAGGUUGCGCGAGGUCACGAACUUGCCCUCCUUGCCGGCGAAGGGCGAGGUGUUGACCUUGAAGGUCAUGUUCACGGUUGGGUCCUCCACCUGAAGCGGGCGCGCAAAGAGCCGCAGGCGCGGGGCGCAAGGUCAACUCCUGUCGUGAAUACCAUGCUUUACCCAGGCGCCUGCCCUUGCAUCGUGCAACCCAUGGACCUCUGUUCUGUGGAAAAGCUGACAUCAUGGCAACAAGGGUGUGCUGUAUCUAGAGUAUAGAUUGUGGGCUGUACG
Molecule: long non-coding RNA, 652 nt
Filed under: Chlamydomonas reinhardtii
Lineage: Eukaryota; Viridiplantae; Chlorophyta; Chlorophyceae; Chlamydomonadales; Chlamydomonadaceae
Description: long non-coding RNA (CREI_LNC000621)
Source: RNAcentral